AUCUGCUGCUUCCCUUUUCUCCUUAUGAUUAGUUGCUGAAAGUUGGGAAGAAUGGGUAACAGAGAUAGGGUGUCUAGGGCCCCAAUAGGAGUGUGUCUUGAGACUCACCAUGACUUAAAGCCAUAGAGUGUUAGCAGCUAGAGGGUCUGCAACUACAUUUAUAGUCACUGAGGCUUUGUCCAGUGUAACAUUAAGAAAGGAAGAAUGUUCCAGAUACUCAUUAACUUCAGCCCUGUCAAAAAGGGCAAAGAUGCUUCUGCAAAGAGACUCCACAACACCAUUUGUACAGAAAACACAAUCACUACGUAUGUUUCACUGUUUAGGACAUCCAGAGAGGCUCACAUCUACUGGUGCAGGUUUGGGGACACUGCUUCAGCUGCAUCAAGCCCUGCACUUGAAUAUGUCUGAAGAGAUAGAAUAUGAAGCAUCAGAUGCAAUAUCAUCAAUGUGAAAUAAGUACCAAAUGCAGCUUGCCAAAAAUAGAGGAUAAAAGCCUCUUUCUGAAAGAUAUAUUUUUUUUAAAAUGCCUUGCUAUGUGCUACCAGGAUGUCAGGUCCAUGAUAGGAGUCUUAAGAGCUAAUUAGAAAGUACAAUUAGAAGAUCUGUUACUUUAUUUAACAGUUUAUGAAUUCAAGCUACAAAAUUCCUCAUGGGAUGAAAUUUGUCGUAUAGUGCUGUACUUUGCCUAUUUGGUAUACAGAUCUUUUUUUUUUUUAAUUUGCCAGAUUUCAUAAAAACCAUUAGCUCACUUCCAUAGAACAGCUGCUUUUUAAAACAAAACAUCUGACUGGCAUCUGUUCCAUUAUGUAGAGUAUGCAUUUUUCCUACAAAUAAGGGUCCACCACAACUAGACAAUA
Mauremys mutica (yellowpond turtle) is the source of this 857-nucleotide long non-coding RNA. RefSeq lists it as uncharacterized. NCBI's taxonomy places the organism in Eukaryota, Metazoa, Chordata, Testudines, Geoemydidae. The record is from RefSeq and is a predicted model, not a curated record. The transcript is spliced from 3 exons.